GAUGAACGCUGGCGGCGUGCCUAAUACAUCCAAGUCGAGCGAACAGACGAGGAGCUUGCUCCUCUGACGUUAGCGGCGGACGGGUGAGUAACACGUGGAUAACCUACCUAUAAGACUGGGAUAACUUCGGGAAACCGGAGCUAAUACCGGAUAAUAUAUUGAACCGCAUGGUUCAAUAGUGAAAGACGGUUUUGCUGUCACUUAUAGAUGGAUCCGCGCCGCAUUAGCUAGUUGGUAAGGUAACGGCUUACCAAGGCAACGAUGCGUAGCCGACCUGAGAGGGUGAUCGGCCACACUGGAACUGAGACACGGUCCAGACUCCUACGGGAGGCAGCAGUAGGGAAUCUUCCGCAAUGGGCGAAAGCUUGACGGAGCAACGCCGCGUGAGUGAUGAAGGUCUUCGGAUCGUAAAACUCUGUUAUUAGGGAAGAACAAAUGUGUAAGUAACUAUGCACGUCUUGACGGUACCUAAUCAGAAAGCCACGGCUAACUACGUG
This 497-nucleotide ribosomal RNA is filed under the name uncultured bacterium. RNAcentral's name for it is "partial 16S ribosomal RNA". It matches the Rfam family "Bacterial small subunit ribosomal RNA", at positions 28 to 507 of the family's 1533-position model. The record is from RNAcentral.